Molecule: ribosomal RNA, 425 nt
Filed under: uncultured prokaryote
Description: bacterial SSU rRNA
Rfam family: Bacterial small subunit ribosomal RNA
Source: RNAcentral
GAGGAUCUUUCGCAAUGGGCGCAAGCCUGACGAAGCGACGCCGUGUGAGCGAAGAAGGCCUUCGGGUUGUAAAGCUCUUUCGCUUGGGAACAAGAGAAGGUGGUGAAUAGCCAUCUGAUCUGAGUGUACUAGGUAAAGAAGCACCGACUAACUCCGUGCCAGCAGCUGCGGUAAUACGGAGGGUGCAAGCAUUAAUCGGAAUUAUUGGGCGUAAAGGGCGCGUAGGCAGAAUUGUAAGUCAGAUGUGAAAUGUCACAGCUUAACUGUGUCGCUGCAUUUGAAACUACAUGUCUUGAGGGUAGACGGAGAGAAUGGAAUUCCACAAGUAGCGGUGGAAUGCGUAGAUAUGCGGAGGAACACCAGUGGCGAAGGCGGUUCUCUAGUUUAUACCUGACGCUGAGGCGCGAAAGCAAGGGGAGCAAACA